UUAGAGGCAAACGGGUGGACCCGCAAUACGUCGACCCGGGGGAUUCAACCAGGCCGUGCGUUCGGGACGCGUGGGGGUUAUGCGGAGCUGUAAAGCCCGUGCCUUUGCGUAGGUCUCCGGGCGGACUGGUGCACUUUCCUCGGGUUGAUUGCCACGACCGGCUCUCCGUGCGGCCACAAGCCUUUGCUGGGAAGGUGACCGUCGGCCUCCGCGCCGGCGGUGUUAUAGACCAGCUUGUUCGUUGAGCUCGUCGGAGGGCCGAGGAAGUGUUGCCGUUUCUCAGCCACCCUCCGGCCAUCCUUGCUCGUCACGACUGGGGUGAACUGCUUCGUCAGUGCUCUCCCGACCGCGAGCGUAGGAAGGGCUGGUACGGUGCGAGAAAGCUUCGGGCCAGUGGCGAAUCGGUCGGUCCUCCACCCGACCCGUCUUGAA
Molecule: ribosomal RNA, 432 nt
Filed under: Fusconaia flava
Lineage: Eukaryota; Metazoa; Mollusca; Bivalvia; Unionida; Unionidae
Also listed under: 1 other name
Description: partial 28S large subunit ribosomal RNA
Source: RNAcentral